This 273-nucleotide ribosomal RNA is filed under the name uncultured bacterium. RNAcentral describes it as "partial 16S ribosomal RNA". It matches the Rfam family "Bacterial small subunit ribosomal RNA", at positions 524 to 796 of the family's 1533-position model. The record is from RNAcentral.
UACGUAGGUGGCAAGCGUUGUCCGGAUUUACUGGGCGUAAAGGAUGCGUAGGCGGAUAUUUAAGUGAGAUGUGAAAUUCCCGGGCUUAACUUGGGAGCUGCAUUUCAAACUGGGUAUCUAGAGUGUGGGAGAGGAAAGUGGAAUUCCUAGUGUAGCGGUGAAAUGCGUAGAGAUUAGGAAGAACCCCAGUGGCGAAGGCGACUUUCUGGACCAUAACUGACGCUGAGGCAUGAAAGCGUGGGGAGCAAACAGGAUUAGAAACCCGUGUAGUCC